GACGAACGCUGGCGGCAUGCCUAACACAUGCAAGUCGAGCGAGCAGAUCCCUUCGGGGUGAAGCUAGCGGCGGACGGGUGAGUAACACGUGGGCAACCUGCCUCAUAGAGGGGAAUAGCCUUCCGAAAGGAAGAUUAAUACCGCAUAAGAUUGUAGCUUCGCAUGAAGCAGCAAUUAAAGGAGCAAUCCGCUAUGAGAUGGGCCCGCGGCGCAUUAGCUAGUUGGUGAGGUAACGGCUCACCAAGGCGACGAUGCGUAGCCGACCUGAGAGGGUGAUCGGCCACAUUGGGACUGAGACACGGCCCAGACUCCUACGGGAAGCAGCAGUGGGGAAUAUUGCACAAUGGGGGAAACCCUGAUGCAGCAAUGCCGCGUGAGUGAUGACGGCCUUUGGGUUGUAAAGCUCUGUCUUCGGGGACGAUAAUGACGGUACCCGAGGAGGAAGCCACGGCUAACUACGUGCCAGCCGCCGCAGUAA
This 478-nucleotide ribosomal RNA is filed under the name uncultured bacterium. Its description in RNAcentral is "partial 16S ribosomal RNA". It matches the Rfam family "Bacterial small subunit ribosomal RNA", at positions 28 to 523 of the family's 1533-position model. The record is from RNAcentral.